AGCAAAGAUAAGAAGAGAAAAAGAGAAGAUGAAGAAACCCAGCUUGAUAUGUUGGAAAACUUUGAAAAAAAUAAAUGUACAUUAAUUAACGUGGAAUCUGGUGAACAGUAACAAACUUUGGUGAAAUUUCAGGAACAAUCGCCCUGAAACCUGGCUAUGGAAAAUAUCUUAGUAUAAAUUCAGAUGAACUUGUUGUUGGCGUUCAGAUGCAAUUGGACCAAGAGAACAAUGGGAACCAGUC
Molecule: long non-coding RNA, 241 nt
Filed under: Homo sapiens (human)
Lineage: Eukaryota; Metazoa; Chordata; Mammalia; Primates; Hominidae
Description: non-protein coding lnc-ANKRD20A2-22:5
Source: RNAcentral